GACGAACGCUGGCGGCGUGCUUAACACAUGCAAGUCGAACGCUGAAGCUCAGCUUGCUGGGUGGAUGAGUGGCGAACGGGUGAGUAACACGUGAGUAACCUGCCCUCUUCUUUGGGAUAACGCCCGGAAACGGGUGCUAAUACUGGAUAUUCACUGAUUCUCGCAUGGGGGUUGGUGGAAAGGUUUUUUCUGGUGGGGGAUGGGCUCGCGGCCUAUCAGCUUGUUGGUGGGGUGAUGGCCUACCAAGGCUUUGACGGGUAGCCGGCCUGAGAGGGUGACCGGUCACAUUGGGACUGAGAUACGGCCCAGACUCCUACGGGAGGCAGCAGUGGGGAAGAUUGCACAAGGGGCGAAAGCCUGAUGCAGCGACGCCGCGUGAGGGAUGGAGGCCUUCGGGUUGUAAACCUCUUUCGCUCAUGGUCAAGCCGCAGCUUGGGGUUGUGGUGAGGGUAGUGGGUAAAGAAGCGCCGGCUAACUACGUG
RNAcentral lists this ribosomal RNA (482 nucleotides) under uncultured bacterium. RNAcentral's name for it is "partial 16S ribosomal RNA". It matches the Rfam family "Bacterial small subunit ribosomal RNA", at positions 28 to 507 of the family's 1533-position model. The record is from RNAcentral.